AGCGGCGAACGGGUGAGUAACGCGGGGGUAAUCUGCUCUUCAGCUCGGAAUAACCUGCCGAAAGGUGGGCUAAUACCGGAUGAUGUCCUUGCGGGGAUCCUGCGGGGACUAAAGGGGGCGAGCGUAAGCAGCUCUCACUGAAGGAGGAGCCUGCGUCCGAUUAGCUAGUUGGUGGGGUAAAGGCCUACCAAGGCGACGAUCGGUAGCCGGCCUGAGAGGGCGACCGGCCACACUGGAACUGGGACACGGUCCAGACUCCUACGGGAGGCAGCAGUGGGGAAUAUUGCGCAAUGGGCGAAAGCCUGACGCAGCGACGCCGCGUGGGUGAUGAAGGCCUUCGGGUCGUAAAGCCCUGUCGGGUGGAACGAAUGACCUGGUGGCAAAUAACCACCGGGUUUGACGGUACCACCGAAGGAAGCCCCGGCUAAUACGUGCCAGCAGCCGCGGUAAUACGUAAGGGGCGAGCGUUGUUCGGAUUUACUGGGUGUAAAGCGCGCGUAGGCGGCCAGGUAAGUCGGAUGUGAAAGCCCUCGGCUUAACCGAGGUUCCCCACCCCGA
Molecule: ribosomal RNA, 558 nt
Filed under: uncultured bacterium
Lineage: Bacteria
Description: bacterial SSU rRNA
Rfam family: Bacterial small subunit ribosomal RNA
Source: RNAcentral